RNAcentral lists this ribosomal RNA (923 nucleotides) under uncultured bacterium. Its description in RNAcentral is "bacterial SSU rRNA". It matches the Rfam family "Bacterial small subunit ribosomal RNA", at positions 8 to 916 of the family's 1533-position model. The record is from RNAcentral.
AGAGUUUGAUCAUGGCUCAGGACGAACGCUGGCGGCGUGGAUUAGGCAUGCAAGUCGGACGGUAGGGCUUUAUCGUAAGAUAGAGUUUGAGAGUGGCGAACGGGUGAGUAACAGGUAGGAAUCUACCCUUAAGACGGGGACAACCCAGGGAAACUUGGGCUAAUACCGGAUGAGAGUGCGAGAGAUUGCAUUUAAAAGGAUGGCGAAAGUUGUCGCUUAGGGAUGAGCCUGCGGUCUAUUAGUUAGUUGGUGAGGUAAGAGCUCACCAAGGCGAUGAUAGAUAGGCGGCCUUAACGGGUGGUCGCCCACACUGGGAUUGAGAUACGGCCCAGACUCCUACGGGAGGCAGCAGUCGAGAAUAGUCUACAAUGGCCGGAAGGCUGAUAGUGCGACGCCGCGUGAACGAGGGAGCCCUUCGGGGUGUAAAGUUCUUUUCUAUACGAGCAGUGCUAUAUAUAUGGAUAGUAUAUAUAGAGGGAUAGUAGUAUAGGAAUAAGCAACGGCUAACUCCGUGCCAGCAGCCGCGGUAACACGGGGGUUGCGAGCGUUGUCCGGAAUUACUAGGCGUAAAGGGCAGGUAGGCGGAUCUACGAGUUUUUUGUUAAAGGCUACGGCUCAACUGUAGUAGAGCAGGAGAUACUGUAGGUCUGGAAUGCGGUAGGGGAAGACAGAAUUCCUGGUGUAGCGGUGGAAUGCGCAGAGAUCAGGAGGAAUACCGAAGGCGAAGGCAGUCUUCUAGGCCGUAAUUGACGCUUAACUGCGAAGGUGUGGGGAUCAAACAGGAUUAGAUACCCUGGUAGUCCACACAGUAAACGAUAAUCACUAGAUGUCGGGUUCUAGAUGGAUUCGGUGUCGGAGCAAACGCGAUAAGUGAUUCGCCUGGGGAGUACGAUCGCAAGGUUGAAACUCAAAUGAAUUGACGG